GAUGAACGCUGGCGGCGUGCUUAACACAUGCAAGUCGAACGGAAAGGCCCAAGCUUGCUUGGGUACUCGAGUGGCGAACGGGUGAGUAACACGUGGGUGAUCUGCCCUGCACUUCGGGAUAAGCCUGGGAAACUGGGUCUAAUACCGGAUAGGACGAUGGUUUGGAUGCCAUUGUGGAAAGUUUUUUCGGUGUGGGAUGAGCUCGCGGCCUAUCAGCUUGUUGGUGGGGUAAUGGCCUACCAAGGCGUCGACGGGUAGCCGGCCUGAGAGGGUGUACGGCCACAUUGGGACUGAGAUACGGCCCAGACUCCUACGGGAGGCAGCAGUGGGGAAUAUUGCACAAUGGGCGCAGGCCUGAUGCAGCGACGCCGCGUGGGGGAUGACGGCCUUCGGGUUGUAAACUCCUUUCGCUAGGGACGAAGUGUUUUUGUGACGGUACCUGGAGAAGAAGCACCGGCUAACUACGUG
RNAcentral lists this ribosomal RNA (468 nucleotides) under uncultured bacterium. RNAcentral's name for it is "partial 16S ribosomal RNA". It matches the Rfam family "Bacterial small subunit ribosomal RNA", at positions 28 to 507 of the family's 1533-position model. The record is from RNAcentral.